AAGGAGGAAGAAACAUGCUGUGGUUUUUCACACUUCUCUGCAGAAAACAUAGAGGAACUCUGAAAAAACAAUGAUGCCCAGCGUGAGUGUGCGGUGGGUGGGACUUUGAGAUGCUGUAAGACACGAGUUGAGUUCAGUGUUGAAACAGUUUGGAAAGAUGAAGUUUCUACUGAGCAGCAUGCUUCUCGCUUCUCUCUGUGCACUUUCAUCUUGGAGCGUGUCAUUGGACACACUUGUUGUGAUCCAGAGUCCUGAUGUUUCCGUCAUGGAGGGGGAGACGGUAAACAUCACCUGCUGCUGGACUGAGAAGAUCGAAAGAGUGACGGUGCGCUGGCUGAAGAAUGGAACAAUAAUUCAGAGUAAAGUUUGGCAGAAUAAAUCUCAAGGAUCUCUGAAAAAGGACGCAAAUGACUGUUUACGUCUGAUUUUUCCAAAUAUCACAAGAAAUGAUUCAGGGAGAUACAUCUGCAGAGUGUUUGUGGACAUACCAAUUCAAGUGGACCGAAAUGGAACUGGUACAUUGGUCACAGUUACUGACUUAAAGAGCACAGAUUAUGAAGACAAUGGAGAUGGAGAUUCAGGUGCUGCCGGAAAGCUAGAAACCCCUGUGAUAGUUGCUGCUGCUGUCGUGGUUCCAUUGUUUCUCAUCGCCGUCGCCUGUUUCUGCAGCCUGCGAAGGAAACGAGCCCAAGCAGCCAGGGUGAUCUACGAGGUUCCCCACAUCGACUCUGAGGAGGCAGAGAUGGACAAACACAGCACCAGUUCUUCCAGAGGCUCCUCUCAGUGGUGUCAGGUACUUGUUUACGAAUCUGUGGAAUACUUUCAGCGUGCAGAGACCAAAGGAGAUGAAUGAGGAUCUGCCUUCAUCAUGCUUUCAUCAUGUAUAUAAUGUACAUUCAUCACUGACUUAUGUAGAUGUUUUUAUAUGAUUGUAAAUAUUUUAUAUUCUUCAAUAAACUAAAUCAUAUCCAUCA
This is a long non-coding RNA of Amphiprion ocellaris (clown anemonefish), 974 nucleotides long. Lineage: Eukaryota; Metazoa; Chordata; Actinopteri; Pomacentridae. The record is from Ensembl.